GGGGUCGCGCGGAUCUUCAGAGAUUAGAGUUUGAUCAUGGCUCAGGACGAACGCUGGCGGCGUGCCUAAUACAUGCAAGUCGAGCGGACAGAUGGGAGCUUGCUCCCUGAUGUUAGCGGCGGACGGGUGAGUAACACGUGGGUAACCUGCCUGUAAGACUGGGAUAACUCCGGGAAACCGGGGCUAAUACCGGAUGCUUGUUUGAACCGCAUGGUUCAAACAUGAAAGGUGGCUUCGGCUACCACUUACAGAUGGACCCGCGGCGCAUUAGCUAGUUGGUGAGGUAACGGCUCACCAAGGCGACGAUGCGUAGCCGACCUGAGAGGGUGAUCGGCCACACUGGGACUGAGACACGGCCCAGACUCCUACGGGAGGCAGCAGUAGGGAAUCUUCCGCAAUGGACGAAAGUCUGACGGAGCAACGCCGCGUGAGUGAUGAAGGUUUUCGGAUCGUAAAGCUCUGUUGUUAGGGAAGAACAAGUGCCGUUCAAAUAGGGCGGUACCUUGACGGUACCUAACCAGAAAGCCACGGCUAACUACGUGCCAGCAGCCGCGGUAAUACGUAGGUGGCAAGCGUUGUCCGGAAUUAUUGGGCGUAAAGGGCUCGCAGGCGGUUUCUUAAGUCUGAUGUGAAAGCCCCCGGCUCAACCGGGGAGGGUCAUUGGAAACUGGGGAACUUGAGUGCAGAAGAGGAGAGUGGAAUUCCACGUGUAGCGGUGAAAUGCGUAGAGAUGUGGAGGAACACCAGUGGCGAAGGCGACUCUCUGGUCUGUAACUGACGCUGAGGAGCGAAAGCGUGGGGAGCGAACAGGAUUAGAUACCCUGGUAGUCCACGCCGUAAACGAUGAGUGCUAAGUGUUAGGGGGUUUCCGCCCCUUAGUGCUGCAGCUAACGCAUUAAGCACUCCGCCUGGGGAGUACGGUCGCAAGACUGAAACUCAAAGGAAUUGACGGGGGCCCGCACAAGCGGUGGAGCAUGUGGUUUAAUUCGAAGCAACGCGAAGAACCUUACCAGGUCUUGACAUCCUCUGACAAUCCUU
Molecule: ribosomal RNA, 1038 nt
Filed under: uncultured bacterium
Lineage: Bacteria
Description: bacterial SSU rRNA
Rfam family: Bacterial small subunit ribosomal RNA
Source: RNAcentral